Molecule: transfer RNA, 75 nt
Filed under: Betaproteobacteria bacterium
Lineage: Bacteria; Pseudomonadati; Pseudomonadota; Betaproteobacteria
Description: tRNA-Val
Rfam family: tRNA
About the family: Transfer RNA (tRNA) molecules are approximately 80 nucleotides in length.
Source: RNAcentral
GGGCAGUUAGCUCAGCGGUAGAGCACUGCCUUCACACGGCAGGGGUCAGAGGUUCGAUCCCUCUACUGCCCACCA